Podarcis lilfordi (Lilford's wall lizard) is the source of this 89-nucleotide non-coding RNA. NCBI's taxonomy places the organism in Eukaryota, Metazoa, Chordata, Lepidosauria, Squamata, Lacertidae. The record is from the annotation of a GenBank genome assembly.
GCAGCGUGUUCAUCUAUGACUCAGUUGGCUAGAGUGAGGUGCUGAUAAUGCCAAGGUUGCAGGAUCGAUCCCCGUAUGGGCCAGCUGCA